This 3027-nucleotide ribosomal RNA is filed under the name Candidatus Aminicenantota bacterium. RNAcentral describes it as "Candidatus Aminicenantes bacterium (sediment metagenome) 23S ribosomal RNA". It matches the Rfam family "Bacterial large subunit ribosomal RNA". The record is from RNAcentral. Lineage: Bacteria; Candidatus Aminicenantota.
UAAACUUUAUGGUCAAGUUACUAAGGGCACACGGGGGAUGCCUUGGCGCGGAUAGGCGAUGAAGGACGUGGCAAGCUGCGAUAAGCUCCGGGGAGCCGCUAAACAGGCUUUGAUCCGGAGAUCUCCGAAUGGGGAAACCCAGCCGGGUAAACCCCGGCUAUCCUUACCUGAAUCCAUAGGGUAAGGAGGCGAACCCAGGGAAGUGAACCAUCUCAGUACCUGGAGGAAAAGAAAGCAACCGCGAUUCCCUCAGUAGCGGCGAGCGAAAGGGGAACAGCCCAAACCGCAUUCAUGUUAAAGCUCGUGGGCGUUGUGAAUGCGGGGUAGCGGGGCUCGAUCAGGUGCUGCCACGACGGCACCAGGGAGUUAAAAAAGAUUAAUCUAGCCGAAUACCAUUGAAUGGGUAACCAGAGAGGGUGAAAGUCCCGUAGGCGAAAGAUUAAUCUCUCCCGAUCGAGUUCCCAAGUACCACGGGACACGUGGAACCCUGUGGGAAUCUGGGAGGACCAUCUCCCAAGGCUAAAUACUCAUCCGCGACCGAUAGUGAACCAGUACCGUGAGGGAAAGGUGAAAAGCACCCCUGUUAGGGGAGUGAAAUAGGACCUGAAACCGUGUGCUUACAAGCAGUCGGAGCCUCCGCAAGGGGGUGACGGCGUGCCUUUUGCUUAAUGAGCCGGCUAGUUAUUCUGCGCGGCGAGGUUAACCUUCUUAAGAAGGGGAGCCGGAGCGAAAGCGAGUCCGAAUAGGGCGCUAAGUCGCGCGGAAUAGACGCGAAGCUGAGUGAUCUACCCUUGGCCAGGAUGAACUGCGGGUAAAACCGCAGGGAGGUCCGAACCGGUGUUGGUUGAAAACAGCUCGGAUGAGCUGAGGGUAGGGGUGAAAGGCCAAUCAAACUCAGGGAUAGCUCGUUCUCCCCGAAAUAGCUUUAGGGCUAGCCUCGCAGGUUUGGUGAGGGAGGUAGAGCACUGGAUGGACUAGGGGGCUGAAAGGCCUUCCGAAUCCAACCAAACUCCGAAUGCCCUCAACCAUACUGCGGGAGUAAGACUGUGGGGGCUAAGCUCCAUAGUCAAAAGGGAAACAGCCCAGACCGCCAGCUAAGGUCCAUAAAUGCAAGCUAAGUGGGCAAGGAUGUAAGGACGCUGAGACAACCAGGAGGUUGGCUUAGAAGCAGCCAUCCUUUAAAGAAAGCGUAACAGCUCACUGGUCAAGUGUCCUUGCGCCGACAAUGUAACGGGGUAAGCUUGCUACCGAAGCUGCGGAUCGUCAGAACCUUCGGGUUCUGGCGGUGGUAGGGGAGCAUUCCGUGGGCGGUGAAGUAAGACCGUGAGGUCUUGUGGAGCGCACGGAAGAGACUCUGCCGGCAUGAGUAGCGAUAAUUGCGGUAUAAACCCGCAACGCCGUAAGUCUAAGGUUUCCUGGGGAAGGUCAGUCCGCCCAGGGUUAGUCGGUCCCUAAGCUGAGGCCGAAAGGCGUAGGCGAUGGAAAGCAGGUUAAUAUUCCUGCACCACCUGAAAAGCGUUUGGACGAUGGGGGGACGCAGGAGGAUAGGCAUACGCACGUCUGGAGGUGUGCGGCCGCCAGGUAGGGGGAGCCCUCAGGCAAAUCCGGGGGCUCGUUAACCCCGAGCACGGCGGGGAAGCGGGGCUACGGCCCUGUGAACUUGCUGACUCCAAACUGCCGAGAAAAGCCUCUAAGGAGCUUUUCAGGUGACCGUACCGCAAACCGACACAGGUAGACGGGGAGAGAAUCCUCAGGCGCACGUGUGAGCCCUCCCUUAGGAACUCGGCAAUCUAACCCCGUAACUUCGGGAGAAGGGGUGCCCCGGUAGUGUGGUACCUGAUCUUGCGUCAGGGACGCACGAGGGGGUCGCAGAGAAAUGGCCCAGGCGACUGUUUAUUAAAAACACAGGACUCUGCAAAGACAUAAAAUCGAUGUAUAGGGUCUGACGCCUGCCCGGUGCUGGAAGGUUAAGGGGAGGGGUUAUCCCGCUUCGGCGGGAGAAGCUCUGAACCGAAGCCCCAGUAAACGGCGGCCGUAACUAUAACGGUCCUAAGGUAGCGAAAUUCCUUGUCGGGUAAGUUCCGACCCGCACGAAAGGCGUAACGACUUGGGCGCUGUCUCGGGGAGGGGCACGGCGAAAUUGUGGUACCGGUGAAGACGCCGGUUACCUGCCGCUGGACGGAAAGACCCCGGCACCUUAACUGCACCCUAGCAUUGGAUUCUGGGAUAUGAUGCGCAGGAUAGGUGGGAGGCUGUGAAGUCCCGUCUCCGGACGGGAUGGAGCCGUCGGUGAGAUACCACUCUUCAUGUUCUGGGGUUCUAACCUGCACCUCUUAUCGAGGUGGGGGACAGUGCUAGGCGGGUAGUUUGACUGGGGCGGUCGCCUCCUAAAGGGUAACGGAGGCGCCCUAAGGUCCCCUCAGGCUGUUUGGAAAUCAGCCGUUGAGUGCAAAGGCAUAAGGGGGCUUGACUGUGAGACCGACGGGUCGAGCAGGUGGGAAACCAGGGCUUAGUGAUCCGGUGGUCCCGUAUGGAAGGGCCAUCGCUCAUCGGAUAAAAGGUACGCCGGGGAUAACAGGCUUAUCGGGCCCGAGAGCUCACAUCGACGGCCCGGUUUGGCACCUCGAUGUCGGCUCAUCGCAUCCUGGGGCUGAAGCAGGUCCCAAGGGUCCGGCUGUUCGCCGGUUAAAGCGGUACGUGAGCUGGGUUUAGAACGUCGCGAGACAGUUCGGUCCCUAUCCACGGCAGGCGCAGGAGACUUGAGGGGGGCUGUCCCUAGUACGAAAGGACCGGGACGGAUGAACCUCUGGUGUACCAGUUGUGCCGCCAGGCGCAGCGCUGGGUAGCCACGUUCGGAAGCGAUAACCGCUGAAAGCAUCUAAGCGGGAAGCGCGCCCCAAGAUAAGGUCUCCCACCCCGCAAGGGGCUGAAGGGCCCUCGUAGACUACGAGGUUGAUAGGCCGGGUGUGUAAGCGCCGCAAGGCGUUGAGCUAACCGGUACUAAUCGCCCGUGAGACUUGACCAUAA